GUGGGGAAUAUUGCACAAUGGGCGAAAGCCUGAUGCAGCGACGCCGCGUGAGGGAUGACGGCCUUCGGGUUGUAAACCUCUUUCAGCAGGGAAGAAGCGCAAGUGACGGUACCUGCAGAAGAAGCACCGGCUAACUACGUGCCAGCAGCCGCGGUAAUACGUAGGGUGCGAGCGUUGUCCGGAUUUAUUGGGCGUAAAGAGCUCGUAGGCGGCUUGUCGCGUCGGAUGUGAAAGCCCGGGGCUUAACUCCGGGUCUGCAUUCGAUACGGGCAGGCUAGAGUGUGGUAGGGGAGAUCGGAAUUCCUGGUGUAGCGGUGAAAUGCGCAGAUAUCAGGAGGAACACCGGUGGCGAAGGCGGAUCUCUGGGCCAUUACUGACGCUGAGGAGCGAAAGCGUGGGGAGCGAACAGGAUUAGAUACCCUUGUAGUCC
This 430-nucleotide ribosomal RNA is filed under the name uncultured bacterium. RNAcentral describes it as "bacterial SSU rRNA". It matches the Rfam family "Bacterial small subunit ribosomal RNA", at positions 354 to 796 of the family's 1533-position model. The record is from RNAcentral.